GGGAAUGUGGCUUAGUGGUAGAGUGCUUGACUAGCAUGCAUGAAGCCCCAGGUUCAAUUCCUCAGUACCA
Molecule: transfer RNA, 70 nt
Filed under: Dipodomys ordii (Ord's kangaroo rat)
Lineage: Eukaryota; Metazoa; Chordata; Mammalia; Rodentia; Heteromyidae
Rfam family: tRNA
About the family: Transfer RNA (tRNA) molecules are approximately 80 nucleotides in length. Their secondary structure includes four short double-helical elements and three loops (D, anti-codon, and T loops).
Source: Rfam by way of RNAcentral